GAUGCCUUGGCACUAGAAGCCGAUGAAGGACGUUACUAACGACGAUAUGCUUUGGGGAGCUGUAAGUAAGCUUUGAUCCAGAGAUUUCCGAAUGGGGAAACCCAGCAUGAGUUAUGUCAUGUUAUCGAUAUGUGAAUACAUAGCAUAUCAGAAGGCACACCCGGAGAACUGAAACAUCUUAGUACCCGGAGGAAGAGAAAGAAAAUUCGAUUCCCUUAGUAGCGGCGAGCGAAACGGGAAGAGCCCAAACCAACAAGCUUGCUUGUUGGGGUUGUAGGACACUCUAUACGGAGUUACAAAGGACGACAUUAGACGAAUCAUCUGGAAAGAUGAAUCAAAGAAGGUAAUAAUCCUGUAGUCGAAAAUGUUGUCUCUCUUGAGUGGAUCCUGAGUACGACGGAGCACGUGAAAUUCCGUCGGAAUCUGGGAGGACCAUCUCCUAAGGCUAAAUACUCUCUAGUGACCGAUAGUGAACCAGUACCGUGAGGGAAAGGUGAAAAGCACCCCGGAAGGGGAGUGAAAUAGAACCUGAAACCGUGUGCUUACAAGUAGUCAGAGCCCGUUAAUGGGUGAUGGCGUGCCUUUUGUAGAAUGAACCGGCGAGUUACGAUUUGAUGCAAGGUUAAGCAGUAAAUGUGGAGCCGUAGCGAAAGCGAGUCUGAAUAGGGCGUUUAGUAUUUGGUCGUAGACCCGAAACCAGGUGAUCUACCCUUGGUCAGGUUGAAGUUCAGGUAACACUGAAUGGAGGACCGAACCGACUUACGUUGAAAAGUGAGCGGAUGAACUGAGGGUAGCGGAGAAAUUCCAAUCGAACCUGGAGAUAGCUGGUUCUCUCCGAAAUAGCUUUAGGGCUAGCCUCAAGUGAUGAUUAUUGGAGGUAGAGCACUGUUUGGACGAGGGGCCCCUCUCGGGUUACCGAAUUCAGACAAACUCCGAAUGCCAAUUAAUUUAACUUGGGAGUCAGAACAUGGGUGAUAAGGUCCGUGUUCGAAAGGGAAACAGCCCAGACCACCAGCUAAGGUCCCAAAAUAUAUGUUAAGUGGAAAAGGAUGUGGCGUUGCCCAGACAACUAGGAUGUUGGCUUAGAAGCAGCCAUCAUUUAAAGAGUGCGUAAUAGCUCACUAGUCGAGUGACACUGCGCCGAAAAUGUACCGGGGCUAAACAUAUUACCGAAGCUGUGGAUUGUCCUUUGGACAAUGGUAGGAGAGCGUUCUAAGGGCGUUGAAGCAUGAUCGUAAGGACAUGUGGAGCGCUUAGAAGUGAGAAUGCCGGUGUGAGUAGCGAAAGACGGGUGAGAAUCCCGUCCACCGAUUGACUAAGGUUUCCAGAGGAAGGCUCGUCCGCUCUGGGUUAGUCGGGUCCUAAGCUGAGGCCGACAGGCGUAGGCGAUGGAUAACAGGUUGAUAUUCCUGUACCACCUAUAAUCGUUUUAAUCGAUGGGGGGACGCAGUAGGAUAGGCGAAGCGUGCGAUUGGAUUGCACGUCUAAGCAGUAAGGCUGAGUAUUAGGCAAAUCCGGUACUCGUUAAGGCUGAGCUGUGAUGGGGAGAAGACAUUGUGUCUUCGAGUCGUUGAUUUCACACUGCCGAGAAAAGCCUCUAGAUAGAAAAUAGGUGCCCGUACCGCAAACCGACACAGGUAGUCAAGAUGAGAAUUCUAAGGUGAGCGAGCGAACUCUCGUUAAGGAACUCGGCAAAAUGACCCCGUAACUUCGGGAGAAGGGGUGCUCUUUAGGGUUAACGCCCAGAAGAGCCGCAGUGAAUAGGCCCAAGCGACUGUUUAUCAAAAACACAGGUCUCUGCUAAACCGUAAGGUGAUGUAUAGGGGCUGACGCCUGCCCGGUGCUGGAAGGUUAAGAGGAGUGGUUAGCUUCUGCGAAGCUACGAAUCGAAGCCCCAGUAAACGGCGGCCGUAACUAUAACGGUCCUAAGGUAGCGAAAUUCCUUGUCGGGUAAGUUCCGACCCGCACGAAAGGCGUAACGAUUUGGGCACUGUCUCAACGAGAGACUCGGUGAAAUCAUAGUACCUGUGAAGAUGCAGGUUACCCGCGACAGGACGGAAAGACCCCGUGGAGCUUUACUGUAGCCUGAUAUUGAAAUUCGGCACAGCUUGUACAGGAUAGGUAGGAGCCUUUGAAACGUGAGCGCUAGCUUACGUGGAGGCGCUGGUGGGAUACUACCCUAGCUGUGUUGGCUUUCUAACCCGCACCACUUAUCGUGGUGGGAGACAGUGUCAGGCGGGCAGUUUGACUGGGGCGGUCGCCUCCUAAAAGGUAACGGAGGCGCUCAAAGGUUCCCUCAGAAUGGUUGGAAAUCAUUCAUAGAGUGUAAAGGCAUAAGGGAGCUUGACUGCGAGACCUACAAGUCGAGCAGGGUCGAAAGACGGACUUAGUGAUCCGGUGGUUCCGCAUGGAAGGGCCAUCGCUCAACGGAUAAAAGCUACCCCGGGGAUAACAGGCUUAUCUCCCCCAAGAGUUCACAUCGACGGGGAGGUUUGGCACCUCGAUGUCGGCUCAUCGCAUCCUGGGGCUGUAGUCGGUCCCAAGGGUUGGGCUGUUCGCCCAUUAAAGCGGUACGCGAGCUGGGUUCAGAACGUCGUGAGACAGUUCGGUCCCUAUCCGUCGUGGGCGUAGGAAAUUUGAGAGGAGCUGUCCUUAGUACGAGAGGACCGGGAUGGACAUACCUCUGGUGUACCAGUUGUCGUGCCAACGGCAUAGCUGGGUAGCUAUGUGUGGACGGGAUAAGUGCUGAAAGCAUCUAAGCAUGAAGCCCCCCUCAAGAUGAGAUUUCCCAACUUCGGUUAUAAGAUCCCUCAAAGAUGAUGAGGUUAAUAGGUUCGAGGUGGAAGCAUGGUGACAUGUGGAGCUGACGAAUACUAAUCGAUCGAAGACUUAAUCAA
RNAcentral lists this ribosomal RNA (2897 nucleotides) under Staphylococcus aureus. Its description in RNAcentral is "bacterial LSU rRNA". It matches the Rfam family "Bacterial large subunit ribosomal RNA". Lineage: Bacteria; Bacillati; Bacillota; Bacilli; Caryophanales; Staphylococcaceae. The record is from RNAcentral.